CUACGGGUGGCAGCAGUAGGGAAUAUUGGACAAUGGGCGAAAGCCUGAUCCAGCAACACCGCGUGCAUGAUGACGGCCUUCGGGUUGUAAAGUGCUUUUAGAGGAGAUGAGAAAGGACAGUAUCCUCUGAAUAAGCCUCGGCGAACUACGUGCCAGCAGCCGCGGUAAAACGUAGGAGGCAAGCGUUAUCCGGAUUUAUUGGGCGUAAAGCGCGUGCAGGCGGUCUAACAAGUUGGAUGUGAAAGCUCCCGGCUCAACUGGGAGAGGUCGUUCAAUACUGUUAGACUAGAGAAUAGGAGAGGGAGGUGGAAUUCCGGGUGUAGUGGUGAAAUGCGUAGAUAUCCGGAGGAACACCAGUGGCGAAAGCGGCCUCCUGGACUAUUUCUGACGCUAAGACGCGAAAGCUAGGGUAGCAAACGGGAUUAGAUACCCUUGUAGUC
Molecule: ribosomal RNA, 440 nt
Filed under: uncultured bacterium
Lineage: Bacteria
Description: partial 16S ribosomal RNA
Rfam family: Bacterial small subunit ribosomal RNA
Source: RNAcentral